GAAUGUCUCUGGAAACUUUCGAAAUCGCCGCCGUCCAAGCUCUGUUGGCGCUGCAGGGAUCGAUCAGCUUCCCUCCGUUGAGUGAGAUGGGCAUCGCUGAAAUAAUCGCCGCAGAAGCCUUAUUACAGCUUCGGGGAAACGGAAUUCAGUGUCCUCCAAAGACUCCUACGUUUCAGGAAACAGAAGAUCUGGGUAUGUCAGAGAGGCCUUCUUCAGUAACAGUGGACGAAAGCAGUUCGUCGAAGACGACGGAGGAAGAAGGCCCAACGACGAGUCGUAAACGGACUCGCAGUUGCACUUCAGAGUCAUCAGACCAGAUUUUAAGUGACGAAACUGAGUUUUUACAUGCGCCGGAGCCAUUGGAGAAGAAUAUGAAUGUCUCUGGAAUCUUUCGAAACUUUCGCCGUCCAAGCUCUGUUGGCGCUGCAGGGAUCGAUCAGCUUCCCUCCGUUGAGUGGAGUCAUCAGGCCAGAGCGUAAGUGACGAAAGUGAGUUUUUAUAUGCGCCGGAGCUACUGGAGGAGAAUAUGAAUACAAUCGGCGAUGGAAACGCAAAAAUCCCAGUGAAAAUUUACACUUCCAUUAAGUGGAAUUCGUAUACGAUGGCUACCAGGAAACUAUCGACAGCCGUAUUUCCUCGACACAUUCUCGCAACACAUUUUUACUGGGAAACGGUCACCAGCGUCCCCCAACAGAAAGAGAAACUAGACUCCAAACUUGUCAAUGACAUUAUAAAAACUGUCGUGGACAAGUGUGGUGUAGCCGAAAAUAUUGUGAGGUAAAUUUUGUGUUUCAUUCAUUACUCGAUCAAUCCCAUGUUUAACUGUUAAGUCCGCUCCCGAUAUUUGUGCUUAAUCAAUAUGCGAACAUUUCUGUUUAUCUUAUUGUAUAUUAAAUUAGAAGAACAAUAAAAUAUAACAUAUGUAUUACGUUGCCAGAACGGCUAUCACAAACAAAUGCGCCGAUGAGAGUAAAAUGUUGCGUCAGCGGAAAAGCAUAAAAUAGAAGAUCAUGAUGAAGAAUAGGUAUUUGGGACAAGGGCUCGUCAACAGUCUUCUUGAAAAGCAAAAACUCGACCGAAAGAAAAAAUAAGUAUCUUUGUUUUUUUAUCGAGACUGAGUCUUGGUAUUGGACGACGACCCGCAGCACUAAAUAUUAACGUUGAAAGUAUCCACAUAUGUAGGUAAAUAACAUGUUCUUCAAUUAAGUGACAACCUCAGAGAUUAACCGCAAAGUUGAUUUAUAAAGAACACGUAGAAACGUCGAUGCAGAACUAAACCAACCUUCGUAUCUUGACGGCUCCUGCGACGGUGUAUGGGGCAGCGACCAAGCUGCGAGCGGCUCGAGCGGAAGCACGAUGCCGAGGACAACGCGAAGCAGCUGGAGCGGGACGUGACGGCGAUCUGCUUCGUGAUGGCAUCAUUGGCGGGUUAUCCAAUAUUGAAUCACCUCGAUGUUGUCGAUGUCGAGGACGUUGUGGUUGUGCAUACGCAAUUUAAUUUUUAAACUCUUGACUUUUUUCCAUAAAUACUUGAAAUUGUUAAACUCGAGUUUACGCUUACUAAUCUUUAGUUAUUUUAAGAAAAAAAUGCGCUGUGCUGCUCAACGAAAUAAAUGUGCCAAGUGGCGGAGCACUAAAAUGUGAACGACGAUCGUCGUUAGGCAAAGAACAGGAACAGUGC
Long non-coding RNA from Pieris brassicae (large cabbage white), 1681 nucleotides. RefSeq lists it as uncharacterized. The record is from RefSeq and is a predicted model, not a curated record. The transcript has 8 exons. NCBI's taxonomy places the organism in Eukaryota, Metazoa, Arthropoda, Insecta, Lepidoptera, Pieridae.